RNAcentral lists this ribosomal RNA (253 nucleotides) under uncultured bacterium. RNAcentral describes it as "partial 16S ribosomal RNA". It matches the Rfam family "Bacterial small subunit ribosomal RNA", at positions 524 to 776 of the family's 1533-position model. The record is from RNAcentral.
UACGUAGGGUGCGAGCGUUGUCCGGAAUUAUUGGGCGUAAAGGGCUCGUAGGCGGUUUGUCGCGUCGGGAGUGAAAACUCAGGGCUUAACCCUGAGCCUGCUUCCGAUACGGGCAGACUAGAGGUAUGCAGGGGAGAACGGAAUUCCUGGUGUAGCGGUGAAAUGCGCAGAUAUCAGGAGGAACACCGGUGGCGAAGGCGGUUCUCUGGGCAUUUCCUGACGCUGAGGCACGAAAGCCAGGGGAGCAAACGGG